Cannabis sativa is the source of this 2624-nucleotide RNA transcript. RefSeq lists it as uncharacterized. The record is from RefSeq and is a predicted model, not a curated record. Lineage: Eukaryota; Viridiplantae; Streptophyta; Magnoliopsida; Rosales; Cannabaceae. The transcript is spliced from 5 exons.
AUCACCACCAAAAUUAAAUACCAUUCACUUUACCAAAUGAAACAAAACAAAAUAAUAAGUAUUCUUAAUAAAAAAAAAAAAAACCGGGUCGGGCCUAACCCGGCUCGAUUAUCUCGGGCCGGGCUUGACCCGCUAGGCCAAAAGAAAAAGUCGGGCCGGGCCGGGCCGGGCCGGGUUUGUGGCGACUGAUAUUCCUACUCUUGACUAGCGAGUGAUGAGUCAGCCAGGUAAUGUUGACCGAAUCCAUGAAAGAACAUCAUCUACAACACAUCUAGUUUCUCGUUAAAACAAACAACUAAACUAAAGUCCAUCACUUUUAACUCUCAACUUUAUUUGCGAUGGCUAAAACUCACACCUCUCUUCUCUCCCUCUCUAUCCUACUUAUUAUUCUUUUUACCUUCUUAUUGACCCAGACCCAGACCCAACAACAACAUUCCCAUGUAGAAGAAGAAGAAGAAGAAGACGACCCCAUUUCCCGCUUCCGAAACUACCUGCGAAUCAACACAGCCCAUCCAUCCCCAGAUUACUCCUCCGCCGUUUCCUACCUCCUUUCCCAGGCCAAUUCCCUCGGCCUGCAAUCCCGGACCUUCCACUUCUCCCUCAACAAUCCUAUCCUCCUCCUCACAUGGCUCGGCUCCGACCCUUCUCUUCCUUCCAUCCUCUUCAACUCUCACCUCGACUCCGUCCCCGCCGAGCCCUCCAAGUGGACCCACCCACCAUUCUCCGCUGUCAAGACCCAGGACGGAAGAAUCUUCGCCCGUGGAGCCCAGGACGAUAAGUGCAUCGGGAUGCAGUACCUCGAGGCCAUUCGCAAUCUAAAGGCCAAGAAUUUCCAACCCACUCGAACCCUACACUUGUCGUACGUCCCCAACGAGGAGGUCGGAGGGUUUGAGGGAAUGGCCAAGUUCGCUGUCUCGCAGGAAUUCAAGGAUUUGAAUUUGGGUUUUGCCAUGGACGAAGGCCAGGCCAAUCCGGGUGAGGAGUUUAGGGUUUUCUACGCGGAUAGGUCGCCAUGGGAGUUGGUGAUCAAGGCUAAGGGAACGCCAGGGCACGGGUCGAGGAUGUACGACAACAGCGCCAUGGAAAAUUUGAUGAAGAGCGUGGAUAUUAUAAGCCGGUUCAGGGAGAGCCAGUUCGAUGUGGUCAAAUCCGGUCGAGCUGCCAACUCGGAAGUUAUUUCGGUUAAUCCUGUUUAUUUGAAAUCUGGGAUUCCUUCUCCGACUGGAUUUGUGAUGAAUAUGCAACCUUCGGAGGCAGAAGCUGGGUUUGACCUCAGAUUGCCUCCAACGGCAGAUCCAGAUCUUUUAAAGAAAAGAAUUGCGGAGGAAUGGGCGCCAGCUGUGAGGAACAUGACCUACAAGAUUCUUGAGAAAGGGCCUCUUAGAGACUACCUCGGUCACCCAUUAUUGACAUUGACUAAUGAUUCCAAUCCAUGGUGGUCUGUUUUUGAAGAAUCUAUUGCAGCAGUUGGAGGGAAACUUUCAAAGCCUGAAAUAUUGGCUUCAACUACAGAUGCCCGAUACCUUAGACAGUUGGGAAUUCCAGUUGUUGGAUUCUCACCAAUGAUGAAUACUCCCAUCUUGCUACAUGAUCAUAAUGAGUUCUUGAAAGAUACCGUCUAUCUGAAUGGUAUAAAGGUAUAUGAAUCGAUAUUUAGCACCUUGAGUUCUUUCCUGAAAGCAUCUCAAUAAGUAAUCUUGUUAUUCAUUUGUGAGACGCUAUGAACAACACACGUCAGUACAGGUAAUUGUGAAUUUGGUGUUCGAUUAUCAGGUCCUUAUGAAUUACUUCCUUUGUAUCCACGUGGAGUAGAGUUUUAUUCUGGCGCAAAAUUGUUACGACUCACCAAGAUGCUAUUAAGAGGAGCUAAAGAGGUAGUUUUUGUGCGAGGAAAACGAGUAAACACAACUUGUAAAGAGGAGAUAUUAGAACCAGAGAAAAUUUGUGACUUUGCAAAGUUAAAUUCAGAUGAGAGUCCUGCAAGAAAACUCACAAUAGCUAUCUGUUCUCGUUGGCGCUGUUGAAACCUCACAUUAGGACUAAAUGGCAAUGUUAUAUUCGAAAAAGGGCUACACUUUAAAAGUCGACACGUGUCCAUUAGAAUGAAUAUGAAUCAAUUAUAAGUGAUAUAUUUAAUAUUAUUUAUAUAAAUGCAUAUUAAACAACUCGUUAUUAUUAAAUAAAAGUUAAAUAAAUAGUAUUCAAAACUCGUUGGCUUAUAGUCAAAAGUGAGACAAGAAUAACAACUAUUGAUUUGAGAUUAACGAGAUAUAUGCAUGUCUCGGACUAUAUAAACAAGAAGGGGAUAUUCAUCCACCCGAGCAAGAUGAAUGUAUCAACAUGAACUGCCUCGUAUUGCAUAGCGAGAAGGUCACUCGUAUUAUGAAAACCAUAAAGAGAAUAUAUCGAGAUGGAAAUCUUCCCAACACUUAGUGUUUUUUCUUUUCAAGAUUAAUAAGAAAGAUAACUCGAAUCUGAGAUGAUAUAAACUUCUACGUCAGUAAUAACCAUCUAAAGGAGAAAACUAAAGAACGGUUGGGUAGUUAUUUAAUAUUAUCCCACAUGUAAUUUAAAUGAAACAUGAGAAUUGCCUACGUUUCAUGAACAAUUGUACUUGAAUUAAU